Non-coding RNA from Potamilus streckersoni, 73 nucleotides. The record is from the annotation of a GenBank genome assembly. Lineage: Eukaryota; Metazoa; Mollusca; Bivalvia; Unionida; Unionidae.
UCUGGUGGCCUAGUGGUGAAAGCGUCCGCCUCGAAUGCGGGAGGUUGUUGGUUUCGAUCCCCGGUCGAGUCAU